CUUUGCUCCUCGCCUCUCUUCUGGCUGCAUGGCCCUUGCGCUCGCUCAGCUUGCUAGUGACCAGCACAUGGCGCUCGGCCUCAAUUUCGCCAUGACUGUGUCCCUGCAGCAGCGCCGUCCGGCCAUCAGCAGCAUCGGCGAGCUCGCUUCGAGCUCCGUCCAUGGCCGCGAGUCCACCUCCGCUGAGCUGCCAGUUUCCAGCUCCUCUAUCAUUUGCUCCGGCGUGCGGGCGUCACUCGUCCGUGAUCCCAGCCGUGCUAGUUGACAUGGUCGGCCAUUUUAGCCGGCAUCGCCACCAGCCGUCCGUCGCCUUCCUGCUCCCCACGCCGACGUCCAGUGCAUCGUCGCCAGGGUUCGACUUGCAGCUUGUGCAAGCUGCUAUCGAGCUCGCCCGGCCAUGGCGCUCACGCCCCAGCCUUUUGCCUGCUCCUCGCACCGUGAUUGCCGAGUUCACCGGCAACAGCAGUCUCGUCGUGCCGCAAACUGUGAGCUGGGUCUCCGCUGUUUUCGGCGGUCGACUAGCUCGCCAAGGCGUUUUUCACCAGUGAAGCAUACUUGUCAUGCCCAGUGUCCUCGCCGUGUCUGUAAAGCCGUUGUGGAGUUGUUGUUGUUCGCCUCCACGCCAUGUGAGACAGCGUCGUCGAUCCCUUCAAGGUGCUCGUCGUCGUCUCCUCAUCGCCUUGCCGAACGUCUCGGACCACACCAGCCUGUCGCUGGAGAAACAUAGUGCAGUACGAUGCCCCAUCAAGUGUUCGGUGUUAUGCGCGAACUAGAAGUCGUUGCUGAUAUCGCGGUCUUCAAGUUGAGUUUAUUUUAUUGUUUAUCACGUGAUGCAGAAAACGAGUCAACUCGACUGUAAGAUGAUGUAAUGGGUGGGCUACUCCACAAGGUAAUGCUGAUGGAUCAACCUGAAGAAGAACCGACUGAACAAGUGCCAACACAAAAGGAUGGUCGUCAAGUGGUCGUCAUCUAACAAACACUUACGUAGUGUUAUUCCAGAAGGCGAGAAUCCAGAUGUGACGUGCGAGUGAAUACCAGUCAGCGUGAACAGUACGAUGUCACUGUUCAUCUAUUUAUAAGCACAGAACGCAGCCUGUGUAGAAUUACAACCAUGCCCUUAACAUUUACUAUUGACUUAGGGAUAAUAUAUCGAGGACUAGACAGUCUUUUCCCCUUUAAGUCAGUUUCAUUUUCCACCGCUAAGCCGAAGCUUUUCCACAGGUGGCUUCGGAACUGGUUCAUGCUUCUCUCGAACCACGCUCUUCAUAUCAUGUACAACUUCAUCCCAUGUCCGAAGGUUCCUGUACAUAUAUUAUACUUGGGAAACAUGUUAGUUGUGUUUUGAGGACCUUCGGAAGACGAAGGCCCCCAAU
Long non-coding RNA from Zea mays, 1373 nucleotides. RefSeq lists it as uncharacterized. The record is from RefSeq and is marked validated. The transcript has 3 exons. NCBI's taxonomy places the organism in Eukaryota, Viridiplantae, Streptophyta, Magnoliopsida, Poales, Poaceae.